Molecule: long non-coding RNA, 1036 nt
Organism: Triticum aestivum (bread wheat)
Lineage: Eukaryota; Viridiplantae; Streptophyta; Magnoliopsida; Poales; Poaceae
Exons: 2
Source: RefSeq, a predicted model, not a curated record
AAAAAUAUACGUCGGUGCAGUGUGGUCAUCCUACAGUCAAACAUUAUUAUUUCUUUUAUUACCUAGUAUUUUUUUACUAAGCUUGCAUUAGGUGGAUUUAGAAUAGUUAAUUAUUAGAUGUGCACCUGGUAAUUACUAGACCACAAUCCUACACGUGCCCUCUCCCUUUCUCAAUUUCCAAGUCUCUCUCUCUCUCUCCUGUACUAGUCCUCCACCGAACACAACACACACCAGUACUAGUCCACCAAGAACAGAACACACGUACAUGUCUUCUCUCCCUCCUAUUCCUCUGCUCCUAAUCUAGCCAGACCGGCCAUGCCGCCGGCGACGGGGAAACAUGCUGCUCCGUCGCUGCUGGCCCUUCCACCCUCUCUCUCUCCCCUGAUCCAAAUCCCUUAUUUUUUUCAGGAUUCAGCCCCAAACUCUCUAAUCCCCUCUCAGAUUUGACUUGCAGGUGAGGCUCUCGUUGGGCUGUGAUUCCGCUGCUCCAGAUCGAAGCUGCCGGCGUUGGCGGCCGCGGUGCCGCUGGGUGUUGCAGAUCAGAGUUCCAAGGGCAUGGCCAUGGAGCAGAUCGAGCAUAAGUGCAGGUAGAGAGAUGAAGACAGUGGGAGGAAGACAAGCUGAUGGUCUGGCUAUUUGGGGAAGAAUGGAGACGUGUGAAGUCUUAGGAGUGGCUUGCUCUUCUCUUUCCCCUCUUAAUAUCAGAAAUCCAUCUCCCUUGGCUGGUAUGGCUGCCCAUUCCUUCUCUAGUGUGUUGCCUUUGUGGAGCCUUUCUAUUGGCUAGGAGUUGCAGCCCAUGCCUAGACUACUGAUAUACAUAUUAUGCACAUGAUGGUGGUUGUCAAAUGUGUAUCUCAAAUGUGUCUUGCUGUCCUAGUUGACCCAGAGAUAUUUGUGUUGGUCUAAGUUUGUGUUGGUCUCAUCUCCCUAUAUUUUGUUUUACCCAAGAAUUGUAACACACAUGUACUGUUGUACUGUUGAGGUGUGUGAAUAUAUAUAUAUAUAUAUAUUUGAGUGGUUAUGUUUGUUGAAGAAA